This 108-nucleotide non-coding RNA is filed under the name Bariatricus massiliensis. RNAcentral's name for it is "THF riboswitch". It matches the Rfam family "THF (Tetrahydrofolate) riboswitch aptamer". Rfam says of the family: THF riboswitch presents a pseudoknot that joins P1-P2 and the loop of P3 and two THF binding. Lineage: Bacteria; Bacillati; Bacillota; Clostridia; Lachnospirales; Lachnospiraceae. The record is from RNAcentral.
GCAGAGUAGGAAUGUGAGCGUUAAGUGCCAGCCGGACGGGGAGUUGCCAGUCGGACGAAAAGUUGCAUCUCAAUGUAUACUUGCGGUUCACAUUCCGCAUCCCGCUGC